UUAUCAAGGGACAGGCAAGGCGGCCACAAGCUGAGAAGAUGCUGCUUGAAAUGUUUGGGGUUUCCAGAGUUAAGGGCAUGACACCCAUGAACUUAUGCUCAUUGCUGAGCCUCAUCCCAUCUGAGAUCUCCCCAACCCACACCCCUGCUGCUGUAGAGGUAGACAUGAUGCGGGAAAGAGAUUGCUCUCAGCUCUGACAGCUUAUCUGCCUUUCCUUGUUGGUGAUGGCCUGACAGUUAGAGCAGUCCUGCUCAGGCCACAAAUCCCUAUGUAACUAGCAAAUGCUCAUCACGAUAAGUAAGCAUCACAUCUUUCAAAGACUGUAAUGGUUCAUCUCUGUGACUCCGUUACUUAUUUUACCACACACAGCAGCACAGGCUGUUGUGUUGUGCUCUGUUCUCUCAGCAAUGAACCACAGCGACAUUGCAUAAAGCUGGAAAAAAUGACAAAAGGGAAUUGGCACAAAGCUGAGAGUGCAAUGGAGAAACAAGAAGAGAUGAGGCUGCAGGUGAAGUUCACGUUGAAUGUGAGUGGAGCUCAUAAAGGCCUAGCUACCAUGGGAAUGGUGACAGGGAUGCUGGUCCCCAGUGUGUGGAUAUGCAGCCUAAGGAACAGAAUGAAGGCAAACUUACCCCGUGAAACAGGAGAGUGGUGGUUGAAGCAGGGGCGAUGUGUGAAAAUGUCCCAAGGAAGUGACACCAGCAAAUAAUUAAAUUAAUACUGUAAAGAUUUCACAACAUUGAAAGUGCAAGAGUUAAAAAACAAUUAAAAAAAUAAAAAGAAAGUGCAAGAGUUGGAAUGUUGGAAGCUGAUCCCAUUGAGAACAGAGUGAGAUAACUCAGAUGCUGACUCUAUAUUGUCAAGUGUGAGGUCAGAAGAAUGCAAGCACUGUGCAAACUACUCUUGAUAGGUCUUUACAAAAAAUAAAACACAAGCCUUUUCAGUGUU
Molecule: long non-coding RNA, 948 nt
Organism: Canis lupus familiaris (dog)
Lineage: Eukaryota; Metazoa; Chordata; Mammalia; Carnivora; Canidae
Exons: 3
Source: RefSeq, a predicted model, not a curated record